UAUGAUGGCUGAUGAUGGAAUAACGGACGAGAGCAAGGCUAUUACUGGUGGGCAAAGCGAAGCAGAUGCAGGGGGCGUGACAAUGUGCGAUGUCAACACCGUGAAAGCCCAGACGGC
Molecule: small nuclear RNA, 117 nt
Filed under: uncultured Geminigera
Lineage: Eukaryota; Cryptophyceae; Pyrenomonadales; Geminigeraceae
Description: partial Dictyostelium signal recognition particle
Source: RNAcentral